RNAcentral lists this ribosomal RNA (253 nucleotides) under uncultured bacterium. RNAcentral describes it as "partial 16S ribosomal RNA". It matches the Rfam family "Bacterial small subunit ribosomal RNA", at positions 524 to 776 of the family's 1533-position model. The record is from RNAcentral.
UACGAAGGGGGCUAGCGUUGCUCGGAAUCACUGGGCGUAAAGCGCACGUAGGCGGAUUGCUAAGUCAGGGGUGAAAUCCUGGAGCUCAACUCCAGAACUGCCUUUGAUACUGGCGAUCUCGAGUCCGGGAGAGGUGAGUGGAACUGCGAGUGUAGAGGUGAAAUUCGUAGAUAUUCGCAAGAACACCAGUGGCGAAGGCGGCCCCCUGGUUGGAUACUGACGCUGAGACGCGAAAGCGUGGGGAGCAAACAGG